UACGUAGGGGGCAAGCGUUAUCCGGAUUUACUGGGUGUAAAGGGAGCGUAGACGGCUUUGCAAGCCAGAUGUGAAAGCCCGGGGCUCAACCCCGGGACUGCAUUUGGAACUGUGUGGCUAGAGUGUCGGAGAGGAGAGUGGAAUUCCAUGUGUAGCGGUGAAAUGCGUAGAUAUAUGGAGGAACACCGGUGGCGAAAGCGGCUCUCUGGCCUGUAACUGACACUGAGGCUCGAAAGCGUGGGGAGCAAACAGG
RNAcentral lists this ribosomal RNA (253 nucleotides) under uncultured bacterium. RNAcentral describes it as "partial 16S ribosomal RNA". It matches the Rfam family "Bacterial small subunit ribosomal RNA", at positions 524 to 776 of the family's 1533-position model. The record is from RNAcentral.